This 1807-nucleotide unclassified non-coding RNA is filed under the name Hevea brasiliensis (rubber tree). The record is from RNAcentral. Lineage: Eukaryota; Viridiplantae; Streptophyta; Magnoliopsida; Malpighiales; Euphorbiaceae.
GGAGUUAUGGGAGUGCUUGUUUGCAGGAAAACUGCAAUUCAACAUCAUGUUACUUACGGAGAUACAACAUGAUACCCACCCACUGCACAAGCUUUGCCUAGAAUGUCCUCCAACACCAUUCAUUUGUGAUGGAUGCAAAGAGCAAGGGAUUGGGGUAUGCUAUGAAUGUAAGGAAUGCAACUUUCACUUGCACAAGACAUGUGCAACUACAGUCCCUUCCUCUACUACUCUCUGCCACCCUUUCUUCAAAAGAUGCACAUUCUUGUUCCAUAAGAAAUCCCCAAUAAUAGGUGAUAUGGUUUGUGAUGCAUGUGGGAGAGAUGUAAAAGGGUUCGUGUAUCAAACCAUCUCCUCCGAUGGUGAUCCCUAUCACAUGCAUCCUAAUUGUGCAGAACUCCCACAUACUUUACAAGGUGAAGGGGUGAAGCUGGAGCUGAAAAAAAAGGUAAAAUCCAAGUGCCUAAAAUGCAAAAACAAGAAUUAUGCAAAUAAAAGUCCAAAGGGAUGGGCUUAUGUUUCCAGUUGUGGGAAAUAUAGUUUUCAUGUGGCAUGUGUUAAAGAGAUGAUUUAUGAGGCUCGGGAAAGAAGUCAUUUCAAUAAUAAUCAUGUCGUUGAUGCAACCGACUUAAGUGGCUUGGCAUUGCAAAAUAUGGUUCCCAGCAAUCAAAUUUGGGAGAAAGCCUUGAAAUAUUUGAAGAUGGUGGCAUCGACUCUGAAGAUCAUAGUCUCGGCCAUUUUAGGAGAUCUAGUCACUGCAUUGACAGGUCUAGUUCAAUCACUGCCUUUAAAUUGACCUGCGUGGAAUACAACGUUUUCAGUGUGGUGUGGUAUUAUCUAUAUAUGUUGAACUUUUUGUUUUUCAAUAUGUUGAUUUUAUAAUAUAAUUUUGGAAGCAAUACAUAAAGUUACUUAGCAACAUCACUUUUAGUUAUCUAUUUGAUACCUAAACUUUAUAAAAUAUAUAAUUGUAUAUUAAACCCUUAAGAGGGUGUUUGGUACGAAAUUAACAAGAGAAUAACUUUUAACUCUUUAUUAGAGUUGUUUGGAUUCUUAAAAAGACUAAGUUAACUUUUUAUUUCAUCAAUAUUUAUGCAUUUUAGGGGUUAAAUAUUAAGCUUAAGGUAUAGAUUAAUAAUUAUCCUUUUUAAAAGUUAAAAUUUAUAAGGGUAAUGUUUAACCCUUGAUUUUUUAAUUUUGUAAUUCUUAAACUUAUAAAAUUAUAGCUAUUAAACUCUUGAAGUUAAGAAAGGUGCAAUGCACCUGCGUGUUCACCAACUAUAAGGAUUGAAUCGUUACAUUUUUAUAAAAUUCAAAUCAAAUGGUAUGCAACUAAAAAUAAGAAUGUCAAGUGAUUUUUUGUGUAAAAUUCAGGGACUAAAAGAUGCCUUUUACCUUUAAUUUAAAUAUCAAUUGAAUGGAAUUAAUGAAGUUGUAUGGGAUGGAGGACAGUUUCCCUCUUGUGUAACUCAUUUAUAAUAAUAAUAAAAAAAUUGAAUGUUUAAAAUAUGCUUUCUAUUUUACACAAAGAAAAAUAAAAUUAAUAUUAUAUGAUUAAAAGAAUAACAUAGACCAUACUGUAAAGUUAUAUAUACUAUAGGGAAGAUCUCUUUACUCUAUUUUCAUAGUAUAUUCAACUAAAAUAUUAUGGUUAAUUAUAGAAUAUUAUAGACCCUAAUAAAUAAUGCACCAAUAACUAAUAAAUAUGAUAUUACCUGAAAUCCCAAACACAAGUAAAUUUUUAUGAAGCGUCCAUCGUAAAUUUAGCCAUGUCUAGGCUUGUGUUUUGCUUUGGUUGUGUUAUGUAGUA